AUUAAAUAAGACGAAAUACAUCGUAUAAUAUUGGGGAUAUGGCCCAAAAGUUUCUACCAAGCUACCUUAAAUGGCUUGACUACGAAGUACUAAUAAAUAGGU
This 102-nucleotide non-coding RNA is filed under the name Metabacillus litoralis. RNAcentral describes it as "Bacillus litoralis Guanine sequence". It matches the Rfam family "Purine riboswitch aptamer". Rfam says of the family: Riboswitches are metabolite binding domains within certain messenger RNAs that serve as precision sensors for their corresponding targets. Lineage: Bacteria; Bacillati; Bacillota; Bacilli; Caryophanales; Bacillaceae. The record is from Rfam by way of RNAcentral.